Molecule: long non-coding RNA, 1140 nt
Organism: Cercocebus atys (sooty mangabey)
Lineage: Eukaryota; Metazoa; Chordata; Mammalia; Primates; Cercopithecidae
Exons: 3
Source: RefSeq, a predicted model, not a curated record
ACCGUGAAACGCCGCAGCCGGCUUGCGGAGCGGUUGCCGCGCCCUCCGCCGGGUUUCUUGUGCCCGCCUCCGAGCCUGAGGAAACAGCUGAUUGAUCAGCCUGGCUCAGGCUUGGGGCGGGGAUUGGCUGAUUGGCAGCAACGCCACGGGACAGCCAAGCUGGAAGCCUGAGGAGCCGGAGCGGGUGCUGGCUGCCGCGCGGCGGAGUGUGUUUUAUGGACCAUGUGCUGCUAUGUAUGCCUGAAGAAGUACUUGAAAUGCAAAUUUGGGGAGACUUUGCCAUAUAAAUGCUUGGCUGGAUUAAGCGCCUAAUUAGGAUGGUUUUUCAUCAAGUUGGAGUAAGCAUGCAAUCGGUACUUUGGUCUAGGAAGCCAUAUGGUUCGUCUCGAAGUAUCGUAAGGAAAAUUGGUACUAAUUUGUCUCUGAUUCAGUGUCCAAGAGUUCAGUUUCAGGUACUAUAUUUUAUGUAUUUUAAGUAUUUUAUUAAUAUGUACAUUAGAAAUAUAAAUAGGCAAGAUGGUUUUAAAAGUAUUUUGUUUUUGAGACUUUUUACCAAUUGAUGCCACUAUCAGUACAAUAAAAGAGGAUUAAAAACCACCAUUAAGCCUUUCUAAUUUUAGUUUCUCUGUGAAGUGAUUGAGAUCUUUAAGACAUUUAUCCUUCUUAAGGAUGCAUAUGUGAAGAUAUAGGAGCAUAUAAUAAGCUAAGCAGUUGUUAAUUCCUAGGUGACUUCAAACAUAGGCUUUAUAUUAUUUCAGGUGCUUUAUGUACCACCAUUAUUUUUCUUCUGUAAUUAUACCUUCCUCUUUGGAUAGCCACUCAGUUCCCCUGAUUUAUUUUUAGAUCUCUGUGUAUGCCAUAUAAGUUGCUUUCCCUGUCAUUGGUUUCACGCUCAGCAUUAAUUAUGGGAUCCAUUGCCUCAGCAAUGACAGUGUCAAGACAAAAAGGUAAUUCUGGUUCUCUCAGUGAGGUGAUACUCAAACCAUGAGUUAGAACUUUUGAAAGUCUUAGUCUUAGAAUUUUUGAAGGUCUUAGUACAGUAUUCUCUUUUAGCACCAAAUCUGGAGCAACUCUGUUCUUUGCUUGGAGAUAUUGCUAUUUUCCUUGAUUUGUACUUUUGUUCCUUUCUUUUUUUUUUUU